Molecule: long non-coding RNA, 460 nt
Filed under: Cyanistes caeruleus (blue tit)
Lineage: Eukaryota; Metazoa; Chordata; Aves; Passeriformes; Paridae
Description: lncRNA (ENSCCEG00000022815.1)
Source: RNAcentral
CUUUGAGGUGACCUACAGCCAGUUGCAUCCACAACACACAAAGACCCCACUUCACCAGCUUCUUCUGAAGUGAGAAAAAUUCAGAGGAGAGAGAAGGCUGUUUUUUCCAGUAGAUUUCCAAAACAAAGGAAAGGAAAAUUGGUUCAGACUGGACAAAGACAUCCAGGAAUUGCUGUCAUCUGGGGGUUUGCAGUAAAUUAAGUGCAAAUGCCAUGCCCAGCCUCAAAUAAGAAACACUACUUAAGAAACUGGACUGUAGUGGAGGAGAUAUUUCAUCCGGCAUCAUUACAGGCAACCAAAGAAAACAAUCUGCUGAGUUCACUUCUGUUUGUAUUGGCCUGCUUCUGAAAAACUACUGUAAUUUAAGGAUAUCUGAGACAUGGAGUAUUAUAGAUAAAGAAAAUGAGGAUGAAAUAUUGAGUUGACAAUGGCAAAGCUGUUAAUUUUGUUUCAUUCCAAG